This 445-nucleotide long non-coding RNA is filed under the name Fukomys damarensis (Damara mole-rat). Its description in RNAcentral is "lncRNA (ENSFDAG00000029034.1)". The record is from RNAcentral. Lineage: Eukaryota; Metazoa; Chordata; Mammalia; Rodentia; Bathyergidae.
AUGAGGCUUCCGAGGAGAGUCCUGUUCGCAAAUGGUGCCUUACGCGAGUUUCCACAGAACCAGCAGAAGCUACCCCUUGCAUAUCCAGUCAUAACUACAGAAGAGAGGAGCAGCGGUCGGCCUUCUUCUGGUGUGAUAGCUUCCCAGUCAUUCCUAACCACGCCUGGAACUUUCACCUGGUACCUCUCAUGACAUUGUGAAUUCAACCAUGGUAAAGUGGCAGCCCACAGGAUCAAGCUGAGAAAAUGUUUUUGUCUGAGCCCUGAGUCUUCAAGACCUUGGAGAUCUUUGUACCAAGGUAAUGAAAAGUCUUUGAGCCUCGUCAGGUGCCUUGAGUGCAGAUUUCCCUCUCUUUAUGCUUUCUGGAAGCAAGCACUCUGUUGCAUGUUCCUUGAUUUCCUCAUGCAACCCGUGCCUUUCCAAAGCAGUAGCCGCUCCAUCUCCC